RNAcentral lists this ribosomal RNA (497 nucleotides) under uncultured bacterium. RNAcentral's name for it is "partial 16S ribosomal RNA". It matches the Rfam family "Bacterial small subunit ribosomal RNA", at positions 28 to 507 of the family's 1533-position model. The record is from RNAcentral.
GAUGAACGCUGGCGGCGUGCCUAAUACAUGCAAGUCGAGCGAACAGACGAGGAGCUUGCUCCUCUGACGUUAGCGGCGGACGGGUGCGUAACACGUGGAUAACCUACCUAUAAGACUGGGAUAACUUCGGGAAACCGGAGCUAAUACCGGAUAAUAUAUUGAACCGCAUGGUUCAAUAGUGAAAGACGGCUUUGCUGUCACUUAUAGAUGGAUCCGCGCCGCAUUAGCUAGUUGGUAAGGUAACGGCUUACCAAGGCAACGAUGCGUAGCCGACCUGAGAGGGUGAUCGGCCACACUGGAACUGAGACACGGUCCAGACUCCUACGGGAGGCAGCAGUAGGGAAUCUUCCGCAAUGGGCGAAAGCUUGACGGAGCAACGCCGCGUGAGUGAUGAAGGUCUUCGGAUCGUAAAACUCUGUUAUUAGGGAAGAACAAAUGUGUAAGUAACUAUGCACGUCUUGACGGUACCUAAUCAGAAAGCCACGGCUAACUACGUG